GAUGAACGCUGGCGGCGUGCCUAAUACAUGCAAGUCGAGCGAACAGAUGAGGAGCUUGCUCCUCUGACGUUAGCGGCGGACGGGUGAGUAACACGUGGAUAACCUACCUAUAAGACUGGGAUAACUUCGGGAAACCGGAGCUAAUACCGGAUAAUAUAUUGAACCGCAUGGUUCAAUAGUGAAAGACGGUUUUGCUGUCACUUAUAGAUGGAUCCGCGCCGCAUUAGCUAGUUGGUAAGGUAACGGCUUACCAAGGCAACGAUGCGUAGCGGACCUGAGAGGGUGAUCGGCCACACUGGAACUGAGACACGGUCCAGACUCCUACGGGAGGCAGCAGUAGGGAAUCUUCCGCAAUGGGCGAAAGCCUGACGGAGCAACGCCGCGUGAGUGAUGAAGGUCUUCGGAUCGUAAAACUCUGUUAUUAGGGAAGAACAAAUGUGUAAUUAACUAUGCACGUCUUGACGGUACCUAAUCAGAAAGCCACGGCUAACUACGUG
This 497-nucleotide ribosomal RNA is filed under the name uncultured bacterium. RNAcentral's name for it is "partial 16S ribosomal RNA". It matches the Rfam family "Bacterial small subunit ribosomal RNA", at positions 28 to 507 of the family's 1533-position model. The record is from RNAcentral.